AACGAACGCUGGCGGCAGGCCUAACACAUGCAAGUCGAGCGAGAUCUUCGGGUCUAGCGGCGGACGGGUGAGUAACGCGUGGGACUAUGCCUCUUGGUACGGAAUAGCCUCGGGAAACUGGGAGUAAUACCGUAUGUGCCCUUUGGGGGAAAGAUUUAUCGCCAAGAGAUUAGCCCGCGUUGUAUUAGGUAGUUGGUGGGGUAAUGGCCUACCAAGCCGACGAUCCAUAGCUGGUUUGAGAGGAUGAUCAGCCACACUGGGACUAAGACACGGCCCAGACUCCUACGGGAGGCAGCAGUGGGGAAUCUUAGAAAAUGGGGGCAACCAUGAUCUAGCCAUGCCGCGUGAGUGAUGAAGGCCUUAGGGUUGUAAAGCUCUUUCAGCUGGGAAGAUAAUGACGGUACCAGCAGAAGAAGCCCCGGCUAACUCCGUG
This 433-nucleotide ribosomal RNA is filed under the name uncultured bacterium. RNAcentral's name for it is "partial 16S ribosomal RNA". It matches the Rfam family "Bacterial small subunit ribosomal RNA", at positions 29 to 507 of the family's 1533-position model. The record is from RNAcentral.